This is a non-coding RNA of Paramesorhizobium deserti, 67 nucleotides long. The record is from Rfam. NCBI's taxonomy places the organism in Bacteria, Pseudomonadati, Pseudomonadota, Alphaproteobacteria, Hyphomicrobiales, Phyllobacteriaceae.
UGUCAAGAGUCUUUAGCGUCAUUUGGCGAGCGGAUUUCUUUUGCCUGAUCGAAGGUGAAGGAAAAUG